This 462-nucleotide ribosomal RNA is filed under the name uncultured bacterium. Its description in RNAcentral is "bacterial SSU rRNA". It matches the Rfam family "Bacterial small subunit ribosomal RNA", at positions 331 to 794 of the family's 1533-position model. The record is from RNAcentral.
CCAGACUCCUACGGGAGGCAGCAGUGGGGAAUAUUGCACAAUGGGGGGAACCCUGAUGCAGCGACGCCGCGUGGGUGAAGGAGCACCUCGGUGCGUAAAGCCCUAUCGGCAGGGAAGAAAAGCGAACAGGUUCGCCUGGACGGUACCUGACUAAGAAGCCCCGGCUAACUACGUGCCAGCAGCCGCGGUAAUACGUAGGGGGCAAGCGUUAUCCGGAUUUACUGGGUGUAAAGGGAGCGUAGACGGCAGUGCAAGCCUGGAGUGAAAGGAUGGGGCCCAACCCCAUGACUGCUCUGGGAACUGUACAGCUAGAGUGCCGGAGGGGUAAGCGGAAUUCCUAGUGUAGCGGUGAAAUGCGUAGAUAUUAGGAGGAACACCAGUGGCGAAGGCGGCUUACUGGACGGUAGCUGACGUUGAGGCUCGAAAGCGUGGGGAGCAAACAGGAUUAGAUACCCCAGUAAC